Molecule: long non-coding RNA, 399 nt
Organism: Cebus imitator (Panamanian white-faced capuchin)
Lineage: Eukaryota; Metazoa; Chordata; Mammalia; Primates; Cebidae
Exons: 3
Source: RefSeq, a predicted model, not a curated record
CUUGGUGCUUCCUUCUUGAAUCUUGCUUGGAUGUGACUGAAUUUAUUUGUUUGGUGGCUACAGGACAGUUCUCCAGUUGGCUUAAUCCUUGGACUGAAACAAGAGAUUCUCUCCUCUUUCUUGCUAGUAGUUUUCAAGAGCAACUUGGCUGUACUGGGAAUACAACAUCCUGAGACUGGGGAGGGACUAGUCAGAAUAGCCCGGGGCUGAUUUUCUCUCUCUUGGAAACAGUAUGUCCUUAAGUGCAUUCACCCAGCAUGUCUUGUUUCUCCUGAGGUCAAAUAGUUCCAGAAAUCCUUGUGAACAUUACAACAUAGGUCCAAGUCUUUUGAACUUUUUAAGUCUGAUUCUUCCUAUCUACAAUAUGGGAAUCAUACUCAUUGGAGAUUAUGAAAUUUA